RNAcentral lists this ribosomal RNA (736 nucleotides) under uncultured bacterium. RNAcentral's name for it is "bacterial SSU rRNA". It matches the Rfam family "Bacterial small subunit ribosomal RNA", at positions 57 to 840 of the family's 1533-position model. The record is from RNAcentral.
GGCAGUCGAACGCCCUAGCAAUAGGGAGUGGCGCACGGGUGAGUAACGCGUGGGAAUGUACCAUUUAGUGGGGGAUAACUUCGGGAAACUGAAGCUAAUACCGCAUACGCCCGAGAGGGGAAAGAUUUAUCGCUAAAUGAUCAGCCCGCGUGAGAUUAGAUAGUUGGUGGGGUAAUGGCCUACCAAGCCUACGAUCUCUAGCUGGUCUGAGAGGAUGAUCAGCCACACUGGAACUGAGACACGGUCCAGACUCCUACGGGAGGCAGCAGUGGGGAAUAUUGGGCAAUGGACGAAAGUCUGACCCAGCCAUGCCGCGUGAAUGAUGAAGGCUUUAGGGUUGUAAAGUUCUUUCGCCGAUGAAGAUAAUGACGGUAGUCGGAGAAGAAGCCCCGGCUAACUUCGUGCCAGCAGCCGCGGUAAUACGAAGGGGGCUAGCGUUGUUCGGAAUUACUGGGCGUAAAGCGAGCGUAGGUUGCUCGACAAGUCAGUGGUGAAAGCCCAGAGCUCAACUCUGGAACUGCCAUUGAAACUGUCGAGCUGGAAUCUCAGAGGGGGUAGCGGAAUUCCAAAUGUAGGGGUGAAAUCCGUAGAUAUUUGGAGGAACACCGGUGGCGAAGGCGGCUACCUGGAUGAGUAUUGACACUGAGGCUCGAAAGCGUGNGGAUCAAACAGGAUUUGAUACCCUGGUAGUCCACGCUGUAAACGAUGGAUGCUAGUUGUUGGGGGGGUUCCCUCU